GAGUUUGAUCAUGGCUCAGAUUGAACGCUGGCGGCAUGCCUUACACAUGCAAGUCGAACGGCAGCACGGGGGCAACCCUGGUGGCGAGUGACGAACGGGUGAGUAAUACAUCGGAACGUGUCCUGUAGUGGGGGAUAGCCCGGCGAAAGCCGGAUUAAUACCGCAUACGAUCUGCGGAUGAAAGCGGGGGCUCCUUCGGGACCUCGCGCUACAGGGGCGGCCGAUGGCAGAUUAGCUAGUUGGUGGGGUAAAGGCCUACCAAGGCGACGAUCUGUAGCUGGUCUGAGAGGACGACCAGCCACACUGGGACUGAGACACGGCCCAGACUCCUACGGGAGGCAGCAGUGGGGAAUUUUGGACAAUGGGCGAAAGCCUGAUCCAGCAAUGCCGCGUGUGUGAAGAAGGCCUUCGGGUUGUAAAGCACUUUUGUCCGGAAAGAAAACCUCGUGGUUAAUACCCGUGGGGGAUGACGGUACCGGAAGAAUAAGCACCGGCUAACUACGUACCAGCAGCCGCGGUAAUACG
Molecule: ribosomal RNA, 525 nt
Filed under: uncultured eubacterium WR816
Lineage: Bacteria
Description: bacterial SSU rRNA
Rfam family: Bacterial small subunit ribosomal RNA
Source: RNAcentral